GGAGUUGCUUGUAGUAAGGGGAUGGAAUUUAUAGCAAAGUAUCUUUUGAAGGAAAAAGAAUGAUUGUGGAAGGAAGCUGCCACUAUCACACAAGGUAACAAAAUGAAAAUUAUAAAAAAUAUCUAGUCAAAUUUUUCUCGAAUUAUUAAACGCGUUUGUGGGGCCCUCCAAUAUUUUUUCUAGUAAUUCUGGACUUUUCAAUUGCUUAUUAAUAAAUAACGAGAUCCCCGUUCAGUUUAUUUCUGUUGUUUGAACUUUUGAAUUUGAAUCUGAAUUUGAAUAUUAUUGUAAUGAUUAGUUUUAUUAACUAAAAAUUUUAUUUAUUUAAAUUGGUAAAAUAUAUUAAAAAUAACAUAUAUUCAAAAACACUAAAAUUAAAAAGGUUUGAUUAUAUUUUUAAUUUUUUUAUUUAUACUGAUUCAUAAAAUUGGUCUCUUUAUUUUAAAAGUUGAUCGUAUUGAUCUCUCUAUUUGAUUUUUUAACAAAAAAAAAUAAUGACAUGAGAUGAUUUAAAUAAUAUUGUAUAUAAUAGAAUGAUUAACACCUAUAAAAUUGAAAUAAAAUGUUAUAAAAACUUAGAUUUCAAUUUUGAAAUUUUUCAUAUUUUUAAUUUAAUUAAUAACAUAUGAAUAAUUAAUGAAUCUAGAUGGUUCUAUAUCAUAUGUCACAUCAUUAAUCCACAAAGAUACAAAUAGUUCUUAUACCUGAGAAGGUUAAUCCACAAAGCUUAUUUGAUUUCUAUCUAUUUCUUUAGUGGGCUAUAAUUAUAAAGUGUUCGUAAAGAUUUUCGCUAACAGGUUGAAACAAGUAAUUAGUCAGGUGAUUUUAGACAAUCAAACUGUUUUAGUGCAUGAUAGACAUAUUUUAGAUGACAUUUUGAUUGCUAGUUAAGAGGUUGAUGAUGUCUACAUCAACGGUCACAAUUUUGUUUAAGGGUUAUCAUGUUGGUUCUAAGGAGGAGUUCAAAUUAUCUCAUUGAUAGUUUGUUGGUGAUACAUUAAUUUUGGGUGAUAAGAUUUGAUAUAAUGAUAGAGUCAUUAAGGCUAAUCUACUUUUUUUUGAGAUGGUUUCAGGUCUGAAGGAGAGUUUCUAUAAAAGUUUGUUUGAGGGUGUUAAUGUCAGUCCAGCAUUUGUUAUUCUCAAUUGCAAAGUUGAUCGAAUGCCUUUUAAAAAUUUGAGUAUAUCUAUUAGUGGUAAUUCACAUAGGUUGUUGUUCUAGUAUUCGUUGAUUGAGAAAAUUACACAAAGAUUUUGUACUUAAACUAUUCCUUAUCGCAUUAUUAGUUUCUUUUCUUUUCUUCUUCAAGGCUCUGUCGAAUUUAAUUUCUUACAUUAAAUCUCUUUUCAAACUGUUUGUGGGGAGUAGUAAGAACGCCUGUAAAAUUCAUUGUAUAAAGUGAGAGAAAAAAAAGUGUCUUAUGUGUGAAAAAUUAUGUUUGGAGUUAAUAGGUUGGGGAUUUUAAUUGUGUUUUAUUAGGUAAAUGAGGGUGAUACUUGGAAACUGAUCAAAAUGGCAUGUGGUUUAAAGUCUUGUUUAUAAAGUACGAGUUUAAGGGCUCUAGUGUUGCUUGGAGGUCGAAUAAGGAUUAUAAUUGAUGGAGAGAUCUCUUUAAUGUUUGUGAGGGGAGAGAGGAGGGAGGCCUAGUUGGUUUUCUGAAAAUUUAGUAUGGAAGGUGGUUGAUGGGUGUCAUACUUCUUUUUAAUAUGAUAAAUGGUUGGAGAUAGAUGCUUUAUGUAGCGUUUUGAUCAAUUGUAUGGUCUAGUGAUGGACACAUCGAUUUCAGUUGUGCAUAUAGAGAUUAUUUAUAUGGAAGGAACAUUUGAUUUUGUAAUGCAUUGUUUGUUUGAACUACUUGUAGUGUAGGAAAAUGUGGAUCUGGAAACGCAACCAAGGAGAGAUGUACUCGGUUAAUGUUGUUCAUACUCAAUUAGAGGAUGCUUCAAAUGUGGAGAAUGAUUCUAGGUGUCAAACCAUUUGGAACAAAUUGAUUUCUUUCAAAUUGUCGAUGCUUGUACGGGAGCUCAUGAACAAUAGGAUACCACUAAAGAUAAUUUGGAUAGAUGUAGUUUGUUAACGCAACAAUCAUAUUUGUGUGUUGGUGAUCGUCAACAGGUUGAAUUAUUACAACAUUCAUUUUUAGUGCCUUUUGUUUGGUCAUGUAUGGGUUGAUGUUUUGUCGUGGAUGGGGUUUUAAAGUGCACUUUUCAAUGAUGCAUGUCAUCAUGUUAGUCAAUUUGAAGACAUCUUUUGUGGUAGUAAGAAAAUUAAUCAAAAAGGUUAAGUAAUUCAGAUUGUAAUGUUACAUAGGCUAAUGUUACAUCUAGUCAGUUGGUGGACUAAGUGAAACUUUUUUCUUGAUGAUGGCUUAAAUCUAAG
Molecule: long non-coding RNA, 2377 nt
Filed under: Cicer arietinum (chickpea)
Lineage: Eukaryota; Viridiplantae; Streptophyta; Magnoliopsida; Fabales; Fabaceae
Description: long non-coding RNA (CARI_LNC002288)
Source: RNAcentral